This 466-nucleotide ribosomal RNA is filed under the name uncultured bacterium. RNAcentral's name for it is "partial 16S ribosomal RNA". It matches the Rfam family "Bacterial small subunit ribosomal RNA", at positions 28 to 507 of the family's 1533-position model. The record is from RNAcentral.
GAUGAACGCUGGCGGCGUGCUUAACACAUGCAAGUCGAACGGAAAGGCCACAGCUUGCUGUGGUACUCGAGUGGCGAACGGGUGAGUAACACGUGGGUGAUCUGCCCUGUACUUCGGGAUAAGCUUGGGAAACUGGGUCUAAUACCGGAUAGGAAUCACAUGUGGGUGUGUGGUUGGAAAUCUUUUGCGGUAUGGGAUGAGCUCGCGGCCUAUCAGCUUGUUGGUGGGGUAAUGGCCUACCAAGGCGUCGACGGGGAGCCGGCCUGAGAGGGUGUACGGCCACAUUGGGACUGAGAUACGGCCCAGACUCCUACGGGAGGCAGCAGUGGGGAAUAUUGCACAAUGGGCGGAAGCCUGAUGCAGCGACGCCGCGUGGGGGAUGACGGCCUUCGGGUUGUAAACUCCUUUCGUCAGGGACGAAGCGAAAGUGACGGUACCUGGAUAAGAAGCACCGGCUAACUACGUG